GUCUUGGUGAAGGCCUACAAAGGUUUUUACAGAGACAACACUUGUCCUUCACAUGUGAUUCUGCCAAGCACCUGGGGCAACUGCUGCGGGGUUCACUAACAGGCAUAGGCCUGUUGCAGUCCAAGCAGGGUUUAACCCCUGGAGACCAGAGCAUGCCCCACCUGGAGUGAAGUCCCCGAUGGGACUCUAACUUCUAAUUGCACUUAACACCUACUUGGGCACGCAAGGGGCAUGCACACCUAGAAUGGAAUCAACAUGAACAAGCUCUCAAAGAAGACCCUCAGUUACUGCACAAGGUUAGUUCGUCGUGGUGGAGCCAUGAAGGAGCCAUGCCGUUGGGUGAAGUUUCUCCAGGUCCAGAUGGAGGACUUGACCAUUGUCCUGAGAGAGAAGAUUCUGUAGG
Molecule: long non-coding RNA, 403 nt
Organism: Chelonia mydas (Green sea turtle)
Lineage: Eukaryota; Metazoa; Chordata; Testudines; Cheloniidae
Exons: 3
Source: RefSeq, a predicted model, not a curated record